GGGGAAACCCAGUGUGACUCGUCACACUAUCAUUAACUGAAUCCAUAGGUUAAUGAGGCGAACCGGGGGAACUGAAACAUCUAAGUACCCCGAGGAAAAGAAAUCAACCGAGAUUCCCCCAGUAGCGGCGAGCGAACGGGGAGGAGCCCAGAGCCUGAAUCAGCAUGUGUGUUAGUGGAAGCGUCUGGAAAGGCGCGCGAUACAGGGUGACAGCCCCGUACACAAAAGCGCAUGUGCUGUGAGCUCGAUGAGUAGGGCGGGACACGUGGUAUCCUGUCUGAAUAUGGGGGGACCAUCCUCCAAGGCUAAAUACUCCUGACUGACCGAUAGUGAACCAGUACCGUGAGGGAAAGGCGAAAAGAACCCCGGCGAGGGGAGUGAAAAAGAACCUGAAACCGUGUACGUACAAGCAGUGGGAG
RNAcentral lists this ribosomal RNA (419 nucleotides) under Salmonella enterica subsp. enterica serovar Tennessee. RNAcentral describes it as "bacterial LSU rRNA". It matches the Rfam family "Bacterial large subunit ribosomal RNA", at positions 120 to 579 of the family's 2925-position model. The record is from RNAcentral. Lineage: Bacteria; Pseudomonadati; Pseudomonadota; Gammaproteobacteria; Enterobacterales; Enterobacteriaceae.